AGCGAUUCGUCGACGAAAGGUUCGCGAGAACCGAGAAGAUUAGGCCUCAAUGCAAACGAAGUAUCGGGAUGGUGAGACGGGAAGGGGGCUCUGCGGAGGAAAAUAAACUGCGACCUCGAUUGGUGAAAUAGCGACGAUGCCAGGUCCACAUCUCGCUUAUAAAUGUAGAACGACACGCACGCUUCGUUUUUUUGUUUCUGCGCCUUGGUUGAAUGAUCGGAUCGAACCGGAAGCUUCCCUUCGCAAGCGCAAACCCAUCGUCGUGGGUCGGGCAAUGGGCGAGGUUUCUUGAAUUCUGACAACCGAGGUCGCAGUGCAUCUCGGAGGCAGCUCCCGCGAGAGGUGCAUCCAGGUGCAAUGAGUAUUUCGGAGGAAACACUGUGGAGCCGAGAUUCUCUUUCGAUUUUCCUUAUAAAAUUCCAUUCCGACAUUUGCUUUGCUUUCUCGAUUAUCCAUCAUCGCCGGACGCUUAACGCUUCAACGUUUUCGCAUACUUCAAUCUCCACUUAUAAAUCAAAUGGAUAUAACUCCAGUCGUCAUAUCAUCUGGAAUGGAAUUCUCCUCUGACGAGGCGACUCGACAGGAAAAAUACGUGAUCUGGGAUAUUAUGGAAAAGAUUGUCGUAGAAUAUGAAUUCGAUAGUGAAUACUGAAAUGAGCGAAAAGAAAGUAAGAGAUGAAUUGAGCUUCGGAGAGACCGUGCUAAUUAUUUUGUUGAUGAAUUAUUUCUCGAGUGGUUCUCCUGAACUUUACUGGCACUUGAAAAUAUCGGUAAAUUUAUAUCCGCAGGCUCUAGACAUGGAGAUCUGUAGGAGGAAAAACUUCGUCCGCUUGUCGUUUCACUACUUCUAACUCGAGAACUACUGAACCUUCCAGCAACAGAACUUCGAUUCAAUAAAAUUUUUAUUUAUUUUUUGUUAUACCAAGGAAAAACCGAACACGAGUAUAUCAUUACGGAGAACUCGAUUUUUGCAUUGGAGGAGCUGAAUCGCAAAAGACGGUUUCAAAAAGAUUCGUAAACCCGAACAAUGAACAGACUUCGUUGAAUUUUAUUUUAGAAAUUUCGUUGAAAUUGCAUUUGAGAAAACGCUACUACAAUCACGGGAAUGUUUAUUACGUGGAUUUCUCUGCGUGGAACACUAAAAAAACGAAAAAGCAUUUAUCCAGGAAAAAUAAUUCCAGUGUAAAUAUUUUAUUUCUUCCUAGUUCAUAUAAGCUCAAUUCCCGCGUAUGUUUAUAUAUACGAAAGCCUAUUGAAGAGGAAUUGAUAAAAGACCUCUUUGAUUGCCAGUUGGCUCCUCUUCCGGCCUCCCUUUGUCGCUCUCGGGUUCUCAUCUCUGACGUCGUCGACUUCGCCAUCGAGGUUGUCAUCGUCGUGCGGCGUCUGGCCAUUUCCAUUUAUCUACUUCGCCACGGGGUUCUAAAACCAGCAGCGAAAGCUUUUGCACUCUCUAUUUCUCUCUCUCUCUCUCCCUUUUUCUCCCUUCGGAUUCUCCGAGAGUGAGAUUCUCUCAACCA
Molecule: long non-coding RNA, 1517 nt
Organism: Venturia canescens
Lineage: Eukaryota; Metazoa; Arthropoda; Insecta; Hymenoptera; Ichneumonidae
Exons: 3
Source: RefSeq, a predicted model, not a curated record